UUCUCUCGUCUUGUGUAGUACGCUCCCUGCUUUAUCGAACAGACAGAAUAAAUAGUGUAACAGUUAGCACCAGUGUAAUAUAAAGCUUUGACAUCGACAGAAAUGCCGCCUCAGCAUUUCUCUUGUAAUAGUUGGUCUUUUCCAUCCACUUGGCUUUUAUCAGUGUGCAGUGAUAGUGAUUAUGAUUUGCUGUAAAACCUUCCGAACCGAGGAGUGUCUUCUGCAACAUCCAUUUCAUUUGUUUUUUUUUUGGUGUAUGCGACUUCCAUUCAAUUUCCCUCUGUUCACAAAUAUAAGAUGUUCUGGAUAUUUCAAUAUGGACUAUAUACAUACUGAAAUGGGUGAAAUAAACACACUAAAGCAUGUCUAUAAUGGUUGAUGGUAUAAUAGCAAUAUCGAGGGACAUCUACAUGGAACAUUAUGAGCGGGUGAUGUCCUUCUCUCAUGACUCAUGAUCCAUGAAUGCACAGAGAGGUUUCAGAGUGGAAGUUGCGGUCCUACUCCUACCUUGCUUCACAAUCGGAGAAACAUACUUUGCUAUCUUCCGAACGAAGGUCCGUUUUUAAUUCUGACAGCUCUAUUUCCCGACUCUUAUAUUUCUGCGCCUGGUGAUACAAAGGAACGGAUGAUGGCCAUUUAAGGGAGAGUGAGACUGGCAAGGAUGUCACCCAAACUGAGAAAGUUGACACUCCCUCCGAUUUAUAAUAAGUGUCGUGGUUUUAGUUCAAAUUUGAAGCCAUGGUCAUAUUUGAACAAGAGUAUGCGGUAUCGGGCCUUGUCGUUGUUUGCGGCGUCAUUGCCAUGGUGCCGUCGGCGGAGCUUCGACAAGGCUGAAAGGGCCAUGGCCCGCCCUAGGUUGGAGCAAUUCUUUUUACAUGAAGUCCAACCCACAAUAAUGCAUGGAAAAGGCUAUCGCUCAACCGACGGAUCUAGCGCGGGCGUCCGCCGCCUCCUUUGAUCAACACGUGGCCUACCUUCGACGAGCUCGCAGCGAACGAUGGUGGUGUUUUUGUUUUGCAACAUACUCUGUUGUAAGAAAUAUUUCUGCAACAUCAGUCAUGUUACAUAAGUUUCUUUCAUAACACCAUAUAGAAGUGAAGACAAAGAAAAAAAAUUCUGCAACAUCAUCUCAGUUGCAAAGCUUUUCUGCAACAAUACCUUUGUUGCAAAAAAAAGUGAAGAUGGAAAAAAAAUUGCAACACGACCUAUGUUGCAAAAAAUAAAUCCCGCAACACGAUCGAUGCUGGAAAAAAAAUCAGCAACACAAUUUUUGUUACAAGAGUUUCCGUAACAAGACCAUUGUUGCAAAGAAGAGAAAGACAUCCAGCCACUCGAUUUUGUCUUAACUACCGACUCGCGAGGCGGCGGAUCUUUUAAAAAGAUCCGCCGACCGACACGUAAAAGCCCCUAUAAUGCAUUGAUUUUUCUAAUUUGAUAGCACUUUUUGUACUAUCCGGCCCAUCCAACGUUUAGCUCUGCCACUGCAUGGUGCUGCCAAGGCCUAUGUUGAAGAUGGAUGAUACCCUGUUUAUCUUCUCUGACUCCAUUGUUGUGAGUAGUAGCAGCGGGUAGGGUCACUCACAUAGCCUAUAUAUAAUAGGAAAAAUAUAAUUAAAAUAUAAUAAGUUGAGAACUAUACAAACAAAUAAAUCCAUGAACCAGAUCCACGGUUGGAUAAUCUCGUGGCCAUUAUGAUGGAUCCACUACUGGUUGAGAGGUAGUGCAUCAGAUCUUACCAAUACGUGACAACCCACAUUGACGAUGAUUCUAUUACAUGUAACACGCCAUUUGUGAGGUCCACAAAGUUGAUGUUCUGCGAUGAUGCCUCCUCAAAGCUUUGGGCUGAUGGAUUUGCAUCAUUCCCCUCAAGCGUCGGUGGCUUUUGAGUGGCGUUCGAUGACAAGCACAUGGACUUUGAAGGGUUUCAAUAUAACUUUUUGUAGGGGCGAUUUUUCGUCUUACGCCACAAUAAUAGUCUAUUUUAAAACUUUGCAAUAACAAAUUUUAUUUUUUCUUACACAAGGCAUAGCCUAGUGGUGGAAGGGGGCUGAUGCCUUCCCACCCACCCAAAUUCAAGGUAUGAUACUUGUAAUCUGGGUUGUUGCAUCAAUUAUACUGUAGGGGCCUCCCUUACGAUCUUUCUAUCAAUAAAUAAAUAAAUAACAAAGUCAAAUUUUUAGUGAUAUAUGGCGCAUUUGGUGAAUUGGAGAAGGAUGCAGGAACAUGCAUGGUUGUCCGGACUCAGUUGCGGAUCUUGUUCUUGCGUCUUGUAAAUACAUGCCAAGAUGUGACGACCCCCUUGAAGCUGAACUCAUGACGGUGAAGGAAGGUGUGCUCUAUGCACGCAAGUAUGUUGUAGGUCCGUUUAUCCUCCACACAGACUGUUCCAAUGUGAUAAAAUUGUUGAAGGAUACAAAGCCAGAUAGGUCUUGGCUACGUCAUCUCGUACAAGUGUUGAAAUACUCGGUCUUUGAAGAGCGGAAGAUGAUUCUCAUGAAGGUUGAUAGAAGUCAAAAUAAGGUUGCAGAUUUCCUGGCUAAAUUUUCGCGCUCGGAGCAUAUAACCGUGGUUACACGAUGCCCCGAGAAUCUCCUAAGCCUUUUGGCUAUGGACUGUAAACCUAUUCGUUUAUCAACAAAACUGCCAGUGUUUGAUAGAAAAUGAUUGACUCCUGAUGAUCCUUGCUGACAAUUCCUCUAACUCUAGAAGCAUGAUUAUUCUUUUGAUUUAGAAAUUCCGACUGUUAAGGAGCGAUAUUACCCCUUGGCCAAAAAAGGAGUGAUAUUACCCGCAAUAAAGAUGCUACACGACGAAUUGGCAGUUCCUCAAUAACGCUUAGAAAAUACUCAUAUGAGGAGAUAAUUAGGAGGAAGAUGUCGAUGUUUGAUAUUGUUGCAAUACCUAUGCAUCCUAUUGUCACCCGAGUACAUAGUGGCCAUCAUCGUCGUGUGACAAGACCUAUUUAUCUUUUGAUGAUCCUUUUCGUCGUCCGACAGAACAACGACAACAUGUAUGAUCUUGAGAAGGCAUGACGGGAAUGUCUUCUUCGUCACUUUCAGGUUCUUAUUCCAUUGCAACGAUGCACUUGAGGCAGAGAUCCAUGAUUUAAUCCAAGGCAGCGUUUGUAAUCCACCAUACAGAUCUUUUGGUUAUUAUUCAACCAGACACGUCGUGAGCUCUUUCGGUCCUCACUUCAGAUUCUCUCGACCGUUCUGCUUACGGUCAUUUGACUUUGAAGAUUAAAGCCCUUUUGGUUAAUAGGGGUUUGAUAAGAUAUAGUCUCCACUCGCAAAAAAAAGAAAAGGAAGACGAGAUAUAGUUCCAUGUAUCGAGGAACUCUUGCCUCUUGAUUGUAACUCUAAAAUUAUGGAACAAAAUGUCUUUCUCUUGGCAAAAAAAGGAAAAAGAAAGUCAAUGCACAUAUUUUUAUUUUAGGUAAAAAACAACACGAAUAGAAGAGACCAACGAGGCACCGAAUGAACCAAACCAACCACCUCUUUUCCACGGCGGCCCCACCCCUCUCCCCCUCCAGCCAGUCUCCGUCCUUCUAGAAGGCCGCCGGAGUAGACGCACUCCGGCCACUCCCCCUUUCAGAUCCCGCCGCCGCGCUCCACCGAAUGAUCAAGAAGUGAUCCUAAAGCUACUUACGUUCAAGCAUAACACGAGACCGUGUUCUCUUCCCGGACUCCGCCGAAAAGAGACCAUCACGGCUACACACACGGUUGAUUCAUUUUAAUUAAGUUAAGUGUCAAGUUUUCUACAACCGGAUAUUAACAAAUUCCCAUCUGCCCAUAACCGCGGGCACGGCUUUUGAAAGUUCAAAACCCUGUAGGGGUGUCCCAACUUAGCCCAUCACAAGCUCUGACGGUCAACAAAGAAUAUUCCUUCUCCCAGGAAGACCCAAUCAGACUCGGAAUCCCGGUUACAAGACAUUCCGACAAUGGUAAAACAAGACCAGCAAGACCGCCCGAUGCGCCGACAUCCUGAUAGGAGCUGCACAUAUCUCGUUCUCAUGGCAACACCGGAUGAACACUACGUACAGCUAAAACCAGCCCUCAAGUUUCCCCGAGGUGGCGCCGCAAGUGGCUUUGGUUCGNNNNNNNNNNNNNNNNNNNNNNNNNNNNNNNNNNNNNNNNNNNNNNNNNNNNNNNNNNNNNNNNNNNNNNNNNNNNNNNNNNNNNNNNNNNNNNNNNNNNNNNNNNNNNNNNNNNNNNNNNNNNNNNNNNNNNNNNNNNNNNNNNNNNNNNNNNNNNNNNNNNNNNNNNNNNNNNNNNNNNNNNNNNNNNNNNNNNNNNNNNNNNNNNNNNNNNNNNNNNNNNNNNNNNNNNNNNNNNNNNNNNNNNNNNNNNNNNNNNNNNNNNNNNNNNNNNNNNNNNNNNNNNNNNNNNNNNNNNNNNNGGGAAGAUGAUAGGUUGUUAGGAAAAUGUAAAACCAAGGUUGGGCCUUGCUGGAGGAGUUUUAUUCAAAGCGAAUUGUCAAGGGGUUACCAUAACACCCAACCGUGUAAGGAACGCAAAAUCAAGGAACAUACACACCGGUAUGACAGAAACUAGGGCGGCAAGAGUGAAACAAAACACCAGGCAUAAGGCCGAGCCUUCCAUCCUUUACCAAGUAUAUAGAUGCAUUAAAGUAAACAAUAUAUGUAAUAAUGAUAUCCCAACAAUAUCCAUGUUCCAACAUGAAACAAACUUCAUCUUCACCUGCAACUAGCAACGCUAUAAGAGGGGCUGAGCAAAGCGGUAACAUAGCCAAACAAUGGUUUGCUAGGAAAGGUGGGUUAGAGGCUUGACAUGGCAAUAUGGGAGGUGUUGGAAAUAUGCCCUAGAGGCAAUAAUAAAAGAAUUAUUAUUAUAUUUCCUUGUUCAUGAUAAUUGUCUAUUAUUCAUGCUAUAAUUUUAUUAUCCGGAAAUCGUAAUACAUGUGUGAAUACAUAGACCACAAUGUGUCCCUAGUGAGCCUCUAGUUGACUAGCUCGUUGAUCAACAGAUAGUCAUGGUUUCCUGGCUAUGGACAUGGGGAUGUCAUUGAUAACGGGAUCACAUCAUUAGGAGAAUGAUGUGAUGGACAAGACCCAAUCCUAAACAUAGCACAAGAUCGUAUAGUUCGUUUGCUAGAGUUUUUCCAAUGUCAAGUAUCUUUUCCUUAGACCAUGAGAUCGUGUAACUCCCGGAUACCGUAGGAGUGCUUUGGGUGUACCAAACGUCACAACGUAACUGGGUGACUAUAAAGGUAUACUGCGGGUAUCUCUGAAAGUGUCUGUUGGGUUGACACGGAUCAAGACUGGGAUUUGUCACUCCGUAUGACAGAGAGAUAUCUCUGGGCCCACUCGAUAAUGCAUCAUCACAAUGAGCUCAAAGUGACCAAGUGUCUGGUCACGGGAUCAUGCAUUACGGUACGAGUAAAGUGACUUGCCGGUAACAAGAUUGAAUGAGGUAUUGGGAUACCGACGAUCGAAUCUCGGGUAAGUAACGUACCGAUUGACAAAGGGAAUUGUAUACGGGGUUGCUUGAAUCCUCGACAUCGUGGUUUAUCCGAUGAGAUCAUCGAGGAGCAUGUGGGAGCCAACAUGGGUAUCCAGAUCCCGCUGUUGGUUAUUGACCGGAGAGCCAUCUCGGUCAUGUCUACAUGUCUCCCGAACCCGUAGGGUCUACACACUUAAGGUUCGGUGACGCUAGGGUUGUAGAGAUAUGAAUAUGCAGUAACCCGAAAGUUGUUUGGAGUCCCGGAUGAGAUCCUGGACGUCACGAGGAGUUCCGGAAUGGUCCGGAGGUGAAGAAUUAUAUAUAGGAAGUGCAGUUUCGGCCAUCGGGAGAGUUUCGGGGGUCACCGAUAUUGUACCGGGACCACCGGAAGGGUCCCGGGGGUCCACCGGGUGGGGCCACCCAUCCCGGAGGGCCCCAUGGGCCAAAGUGGGGAGGGGAACCAGCCCAUAGUGGGCUGGUGCACCCCCCUUGGCCCACCCCAUGCGCCUAGGGUUGGGAACCCUAGGGUGGGGGGGCGCCCCACUUGGCUUGGGGGGCACUCCACCCCUUGGCCGCCGCCCCCCCUAGGAGAUCCCAUCUCCUAGGGCCGGCGCACCCUCUAGGGGGCCUAUAUAAAGGGGGGGAGGGAGGGGGCAGCCGCACCCUUGAGUCUUGGCGCCUUCCUCUCCCCUGCAACACCUCUCCCUCUCGUAGUAGAACGGCGAAGCCCUGCUCCGGUGACCCCUGCAUCCACCACCAUGCCAUCGUGCUGCUGGAUCUUCAUCAACCUCUCCUUCCCCCUUGCUGGAUCAAGAAGGAGGAGACGCCACGCUGACCGUACGUGUGUUGAACGCGGAGGUGCCGUCCGUUCGGCGCUAGGAUCUCCGGUGAUUUGGAUCACGUCGAGUACGACUUCCUCAUCCCCGUUCUUUGAACGCUUCCGCGCGUGAUCUACAAAGGUAUGUAGAUGCAAUCCGAUCACUCGUUGCUAGAUGAACUCAUAGAUGGAUCUUGGUGAAACCGUAGAAUUUUUUUUGUUUUCUGCAACGUUCCCCAACAGUGGUAUCAGAGCUAGGUCUAUGCGUAGUUCUCUUUGCACGAGUAGAACACAAUUUAUUGUGGGCGUAGAUGUUGUCAACUUUCUUGCCGCUACUAGUCUUAUUUUGCUUCAGCGGUAUUGUGGGAUGAAGCGGCCCGGACCGACCUUACACGUACGCUUACGUGAGACUGGUUCCACCGACUGACAUGCACUAGUUGCAUAAGGUGGCUAGCAGGUGUCUGUCUCUCCCACUUUAGUUAGAGCGGAUUCGAUGAAAAGGGUCCUUAUGAAGGGUAAAUAGAAGUUGACAAAUCACGUUGUGGCUUUCACGUAGGUAAGAAAACGUUCUUGCUAGAACCCUUUUGCAGCCACGUAAAACUUGCAACAACAAUUAGAGGACGUCUAACUUGUUUUUGCAGCAAGUGCUUUGUGAUGUGAUAUGGCCAAAGUUGUGAUGAAUGAUGAAUGAUAUAUAUGUGAUGUAUGAGAUCAUGUUCUUGUAAUAGGAAUCACGACUUGCAUGUCGAUGAGUAUGACAACCGGCAGGAGCCAUAGGAGUUGUCUUUAUUUUUUGUAUGACCUGCGUGUCAUUGAGAAACGCCAUGUAAAUUACUUUACUUUAUUGCUAAACGUGUUAGCCAUAGUAGUAGAAGUAAUAGUUGGCGAGCAACUUCAUGGAGACACGAUGAUGGAGAUCAUGAUGAUGGAGAUCAUGGUGUCAUGCCGGUGACAAGAUGAUCAUGGAGCCCCAAGAUGGAGAUCAAAGGAGCUAUGUGAUAUUGGCCAUAUCAUGUCACUAUUAUUAUUUGAUUGCAUGUGAUGUUUAUCAUGUUUUUGCAUCUUGUUUACUUAGAACGAUGGUAGUAAAUAAGAUGAUCCCUCAUAAUAAUUUCAAGAAAGUGUUUCCCCUAACUGUGCACCAUUGCGACAGUUCGUUGUUUCGAAGCACCACGUGAUGAUCGGGUGUGAUAGAUUUCAACAUUCACAUACAACGGGUGUAAGACAGAUUUACACAUGCAAACACUUAGGUUGACUUGACGGGCCUAGCAUGUACAGACAUGGCCUCGGAACACAGAAGACCGAAAGGUCGAGCAUGAGUCGUAUAGAAGAUACGAUCAACAUGAAGAUGUUCACCGAUGUUGACUAGUCCGUCUCACGUGAUGAUCGGACACGGCCUAGUUAACUCGGAUCAUGUUAUACUUAGAUGACGGGAGGGAUGUCUAUCUGAGUGGGAGUUCAUUAUAUAAUUUGAUUAGAUAAACUUAAUUAUCAUGAACUUAGUCUAAAAUCUUUACAAUAUGUCUUGUAGAUCAAAUGGCCCACGUUGUCCUCAACUUCAACGCGUUCCUAGAGAAAAUCAAGCUGAAAGACGAUGGCAGCAAUUAUACGGACUGGGUCCGGAACCUGAGGAUCAUCCUCAUAGCUGCCAAGAAAGAUUAUGUCCUAGAAGCACCGCUAGGUGAUGCACCCAUCCCACAGAACCAAGACGUUAUGAACGCUUGGCAGACACGUGCUGAUGACUACUCCCUCAUUCAGUGCGGCAUGCUUUACAGCUUAGAACCGGGGCUCCAAAAGCGUUUUGAGAGACACAGAGCAUAUGAGAUGUUCGAAGAGCCGAAAAUGGUUUUUCAAGCUCAUGCCCGGGUCGAGAGAUAUGAAGUCUCCAACAAGUUCUUCAGCUGUAAGAUGGAGGAAAAUAGUUCUAUCAGUGAGCACAUACUCACUAUGUCUGGAUUACAUAACCGCUUAACUCAGCUAGGAGUUAAUCUCCCGGAUGAUGCGGUCAUUGACAGAAUCCUUCAGUCGCUUCCACCGAGCUACAAGAGCUUUGUGAUGAACUUCAAUAUGCAGGGGAUGGAAAAGACCAUACCUGAGGUAUUUUCAAUGCUGAAAUCAGCAGAGGUAGAAGUCAAAAAGGAACAUCAAGUGUUGAUGGUCAAUAAAACCAUCAAGUUCAAGAAAGGCAAGGGUAAAAAGAACUUCAAGAAGGACGGCAAGGGAGUUGCGGCGCCCGGUAAGCAAGCUGCCGGGAAGAAGCCAAAGAAUGGACCCAAGCCCGAGACUGAGUGCUUUUAUUGCAAGGGAAGUGGUCACUGGAAGCGGAACUGCCCCAAAUACUUAGCGGACAAGAAGGCCGGCAACACAAAAGGUAUAUGUGAUAUACAUGUAAUUGAUGUGUACCUUACCAGUAUUCGUAGUAGCUCCUGGGUAUUUGAUACCGGUGCGGUUGCUCACAUUUGUAACUCAAAGCAGGAGCUGCGGAAUAAACGGAGACUGGCGAAGAACGAGGUGACGAUGCGCGUCGGGAAUGGUUCCAAGGUCGAUGUGAUUGCCGUCGGCACGCUACCUCUACAUUUACCCACGGGAUUAGUUUUAAACCUCAAUAAUUGUUAUUUAGUACCAGCUUUGAGCAUGAACAUUGUAUCAGGAUCUCGUUUAAUUCGAGAUGGCUACUCAUUUAAAUCCGAGAAUAAUGGUUGUUCUAUUUAUAUGAGAGAUAUGUUUUAUGGUCACGCUCCUAUGGUGAAUGGUUUAUUCUUAAUGAAUCUCGAGCGUAAUGCUACACAUAUUCAUAGUGUGAAUACCAAAAGAUGUAAGGUUGAUAAUGAUAGUCCCAUAUACUUGUGGCACUGCCGCCUUGGUCACAUAGGUGUCAAACGCAUGAAGAAGCUUCAUGCAUAUGGACUUUUAGAGUCUCUUGAUUACGAAUCAUUUGACACGUGCGAACCAUGCCUCAUGGGUACGAUGACCAAGACUCCGUUCUCAGGAACAAUGGAGCAAGCAACCAACCUAUUGGAAAUCAUACAUACUGAUGUGUGCGGUCCAAUGAGUGUUGAGGCUCGUGGUGGCUAUUGUUAUGUUCUCACCCUCACUGAUGACUUGAGUAGAUAUGGGUAUGUCUACUUAAUGAAACACAAGUCUGAAACCUUUGAAAAGUUCAAGGAAUUUCAGAGUGAGGUUGAAAAUCAACGUGACAGAAAAAUCAAGUUUUUACGAUCAGAUCAUGGAGGAGAAUACUUGAGUCACGAAUUUGGCACACACUUAAGAAAAUGUGGAAUAGUUUCACAACUCACGCCGCCUGGAACACCUCAGCGUAAUGGUGUGUCCGAACGUCGUAAUCGCACUCUAUUAGAUAUUGUGCGAUCUAUGAUGUCUCUUACCGAUUUACCGCUGUCAUUUUGGGGCUAUGCUUUAGAGACUGCCGCAUUCGCUUUAAAUAGGGCUCCGUCGAAAUCCGUUGAGACGACAGCGUAUGAAUUAUGGUUUGGGAAGAAGCCUAAGCUGUCGUUUCUAAAAGUUUGGGGAUGCGAUGCUUAUGUCAAGAAACUUCAACCUGAAAAGCUCGAACCCAAGUCGGAAAAAUGCGUCUUCAUAGGAUACCCUAAAGAAACUAUUGGGUAUACCUUCUACCUCAGAUCCGAAGGCAAGAUCUUUGUUGCCAAGAAUGGAUCCUUUCUAGAGAAAGAGUUUCUCUCGAAAGAAGUAAGUGGGAGGAAAGUAGAGCUUGAUGAAGUACUGCCUCUUGAAGCAGAGAGUAGCGCAGCUCAGGAAAAUGUUCCUGUGGUGCCUGCACCAAUUAGAGAGGAAGUUAAUGAUGAUGAUCAAGAUAUUUCUGAUCAAGCUCCUACUGAACUUCGAAGGUCCACAAGGACACGUUCCGCACCAGAGUGGUACGGCAACCCUGUCUUGGAAAUCAUGUUGUUAGACAAUGGUGAACCUUCGAACUAUGAAGAAGCGAUGGCGGGCCCGGAUUCCGACAAAUGGCUGGAAGCCAUGAAAUCCGAGAUAGGAUCCAUGUAUGAAAACGAAGUAUGGACUUUGACUGACUUGCCCGAUGAUCGGCGAGCCAUAGAAAAUAAAUGGAUCUUUAAGAAGAAGACAGACGCGGAUGGUAAUGUGACCAUCUAUAAAGCUAGGCUUGUCGCUAAGGGUUAUCGACAAGUUCAAGGGGUUGACUACGAUGAGACAUUCUCUCCCGUGGCAAAGCUGAAGUCCGUCCGAAUCAUGUUAGCAAUUGCCGCAUACUAUGAUUAUGAGAUAUGUCAAAUGGACGUCAAAACGGCAUUCCUUAACGGUUAUCUUAAAGAAGAACUAUAUAUGAUGCAGCCGGAAGGUUUUGUCGAUCCUAAGAAUGCUGACAAGGUGUGCAAGCUCCAAUGCUCGAUUUAUGGGCUGGUGCAAGCAUCUCAGAGUUGGAACAUUCGCUUUGAUGAGAUGAUCAAAGCGUUUGGGUUUAUGUAGACUUAUGGAGAAGCCUGCGUUUACAAGAAAGUGAGUGGGAGCUGUGUAGCAUUUCUCAUAUUAUAUGUAGAUGACAUACUUUUGAUGGGAAAUGAUAUAGAACUUUUGGACAGCAUUAAGGCCUACUUGAAUAAGAGUUUUUCAAUGAAGGACCUUGGAGAAGCUGCUUAUAUAUUAGGCAUCAAGAUCUAUAGAGAUAGAUCAAGACGCCUCAUAGGUCUUUCACAAAGCACAUACCUUGAUAAGAUAUUUAAGAAGUUCAAUAUGGAUCAGUCUAAGAAGGGGUUCUUGCCUGUGUUGCAAGGUGUGAAAUUGAGCUCAGCUCAAUGUCCGACCACAGCAGAAGAUAUAGAAGAGAUGAGUGUCAUCCCCUAUGCCUCAGCCAUAGGUUCUAUUAUGUAUGCCAUGUUGUGUACCAGACCUGAUGUAAACCUUGCCGUAAGUUUGGUAGGUAGGUACCAAAGUAAUCCCGGCAAGGAACGCUGGACAGCGGUCAAGAAUAUCCUGAAGUACCUAAAAAGGACUAAGGAAAUGUUUCUCGUUUAUGGAGGUGACGAAGAGCUUGUCGUAAAGGGUUACGUCGACGCUAGCUUCGACACAGAUCUGGAUGACUCUAAGUCACAAAUCGGAUACGUGUAUAUUUUGAAUGGUGGGGUAGUAAGCUGGUGCAGUUGCAAGCAAAGCGUUGUGGCGGGAUCUACAUGUGAAGCGGAGUACAUGGCAGCCUCGGAGGCAGCACAUGAAGCAGUCUGGGUGAAGGAGUUCAUUACCGACCUAGGAGUCAUACCCAAUGCGUCGGGCCCGAUGACUCUCUUCUGUGACAACACUGGAGCUAUUGCCCUUGCCAAGGAGCCCGGGUUUCACAGGAAGACCAGGCAUAUCAAGCGUCGCUUCAACUCCAUUCGUGAAAUUGUUCAAAAUGGAGACAUAGAGAUUUGUAAAGUACAUACGGACCUGAAUGUAGCAGAUCCGUUGACUAAACCUCUCCCUAGAGCAAAACAUGAUCAACACCAGAAUUCCAUGGGUGUUCGAUUCAUCACAAUGUAACUAGAUUAUUGACUCUAGUGCAAGUGAGAGACUCCUGGAAAUAUGCCCUAGAGGCAAUAAUAAAAGGAUUAUUAUUAUAUUUCCUUGUUCAUGAUAAUUGUCUAUUAUUCAUGCUAUAAUUUUAUUAUCCGGAAAUCGUAAUACAUGUGUGAAUACAUAGACCACAAUGUGUCCCUAGUGAGCCUCUAGUUGACUAGCUCGUUGAUCAACAGAUAGUCAUGGUUUCCUGGCUAUGGACAUGGGGAUGUCAUUGAUAACGGGAUCACAUCAUUAGGAGAAUGAUGUGAUGGACAAGACCCAAUCCUGAACAUAGCACAAGAUCGUAUAGUUCGUUUGCUAGAGUUUUUCCAAUGUCAAGUAUCUUUUUCUUAGACCAUGAGAUCGUGUAACUCCCAAAUACCGUAGGAGUGCUUUGGGUGUACCAAACGUCACAACGUAACUGGGUGACUAUAAAGGUAUACUGCGGGUAUCUCCGAAAGUGUCUGUUGGGUUGACACGGAUCAAGACUAGGAUUUGUCACUCCGUAUGACGAAGAGGUAUCUCUGGGCCCACUCGGUAAUGCAUCAUCACAAUGAGCUCAAAGUGACCAAGUGUCUGGUCACAGGAUCAUGCAUUAUGGUACGAGUAAAGUGACUUGCCGGUAACGAGAUUGAACGAGGUAUUGGGAUACCGACGAUCGAAUCUCGGGCAAGUAACGUACCGAUUGACAAAGGAAAUUGUAUACGGGGUUACUUGAAUCCUCGACAUUGUGGUUCAUCCGAUGAGAUCAUCGAGGAGCAUGUGGGAACCAACAUGGGUAUCCAGAUCCCGCUGUUGGUUAUUGACCGGAGAGCCAUCUAGGUCAUGUCUACAUGUCUCCCGAACCCGUAGGGUCUACACACUUAAGGUUCGGUGACACUAGGGUUGUAGAGAUAUGAAUAUGCAGUAACCCGAGAGUUGUUCAGAGUCCCGGAUGAGAUCCUGGACGUCAUGAGGAGUUCCGGAAUGGUCCGGAGGUGAAGAAUUAUAUAUAGGAAGUGCAGUUUCGGCCAUCGGGAGAGUUUCGGGGGUCACCGGUAUUGUACCGGGACCACCGGAAGGGUCCCGGAGGUCCAUCGGGUGGGGCCACCCAUCCCGGAGGCCCCAUGGGCCAAAGUGGGGAGGGGAACCAGCCCAUAGUGGGCUGGUGCACCCCCCUUGGCCCACCCCAUGCGCCUAGGGUUGGGAACCCUAGGGUGGGGGGCGCCCCACCUGGCUUGGGGGGCACUCCACCCCUUGCCCACCGCCCCCCCUAGGAGAUCCCAUCUCCUAGGACCGGCGCACCCCCUAGGGGGCCUAUAUAAAGGGGGGGGGGGAGGGAGGGGGCAGCCGCACCCUUGAGUCUUGGCGCCUCCCUCUCCCCUGCAACACCUCUCCCUCUCGUAGUAGAACAGCGAAGCCCUGCUGCGGUGACCCCUGCAUCCACCACCACACCGUCAUGCUGCUGGAUCUUCAUCAACCUCUCCUUCCCCCUUGCUGGAUCAAGAAGGAGACGUCACGCUGACCGUACAUGUGUUGAACGCAAAGGUGCCGUCCGUUCGGCGCUAGGAUCUCCGGUGAUUUGGAUCACGUCGAGUACGACUUCCUCAUCCCCGUUCUUUGAACGCUUCCGCGCGUGAUCUACAAAGAUAUGUAGAUGCAAUCCGAUCACUCGUUGCUAGAUGAACUCAUAGAUGGAUCUUGGUGAAACCCUAGAAUUUUUUUUGUUUUCUGCAACGUUCCCCAAUAGGAGGCAUGAUAUAGCUAGUGGUAGGUAUCGCGGCAUAGCAAUUGACAAAGCACCACAUUCGUUUAUUUAGUUCACUCCCGAUUAUGUACUCAACAAUAUUAAAUGUUGUUAACAUGGCAAGAGGUGAGUCAUGAGUAAAACAUCUAUCUAAACAAGUUUAAAUGAGGCCGGAACAAGCAACGAUUUCGAUAAAUCCCCAUAUGCAUUUAGCAAUUUAAGCAAACAACACUUGUAACCAUUUUAAAUAUUUUUAUCAUGAUGUGGAUGACAUGUGCCAGUUUAUGCAAGUUUUAUGAAAAUGUUGAUAAGAGCAUUAUAUGAAGCAUUAGUCAGCGUGGCGGAAAUGAAAGGGGUGCCACGACAACGAAUCCGAAAAUGGUGCCACGGCAACAUAUCGGUUCCGGUAGCUCACAGGAAUACCGGUGCAAAAGGAAGUGGGUGUGAGUGUGUCAUGCAAGAUGAUGGGGUGCUCCCGGAUACAUGUUCCCACAUGACGGUGGCAAGGAAACGAGUGACGAUGUGCGACGAACAAAACGGGCACGGUGCAAACACGGGCAUCUCGUACAACACACAUGCAAUCGUUCCACAGCGUCGUUUCGGGGUUAUACCUUCGAGGCGUGACUUUUCGGAACGGAUCAAGUUCGUAGUGGAAGUAGACGUUCUCGCGACGGUAGUCGUUCACGUUCUUAGUCGCACAAGUUUUCGUAGAUGUUCAGGGUUAUGGCGAGAAACUUGACUUCCACGGAGUCUUCGAGGGUCGACGGUAGUGGUACUUGGCAAAAUGCACGUCGAGGGUAGUUGUUCUCGUAUCGACGUGGUACUUGGCGAUUUCGGAGACGACGGAUGACGAACUUGGCGGUCCUCGCAGAACUAGUACUUGGCGUUAGUGAUACACGUUUCAAAAGUUGUUCACGACGAUGAUAGUCGAAACUUGGUGAUCCGAAGGGGUACUUGGCGAAUAACGGCCGUUGUGGUACUUGGUGAAAUCUUGGGAGAUGAACUUGAUGCAUCAAACGUCUUCGGUGCGACGGUACUUGUGAGGUUAGACGUACUUUCGAAGAGGAAACUUGUCACGUCCCAGAAUGAGCAAGGCAAAAGCCUCGUUCCGCGGUGCUCAAACUUGACGAAAACCACGAACGGGUCUUGGCGUAUCCUGGUCUUGGAGAGGUCUCCGGAAAAGAACUUGGCGUCCAAGGGGACAUGGAGCCGCGGUCUUGGCGUCGAGCAGGGGUCGAAGCCCAACGAGGGGCGAGGUGGACGCUGUUGUUCCUGCCAGGAGGCGAAGCAAGGCGAUGACGAUCUUGAGGCGGCGCUGUGAGGACGGCGACGAGGCGGACUAGUCCGGCGAAGCAGGAGGAUUGCGGAGGUGCACGGGACAGCGACGGUGAGGUAGGGGAUGGACUGCUGCUGCAGAGAACUUGGCGUAGGGACGAGGGCCUGCCGGACUCGACGAGGAGGUCGGGGUCGACGCUGACACGGCGAGAGGCGUCGGGCUUCGCAGGAGAAGGAGGUACCGGGCAGCGCGCGGCCACGGAGGAGAGGGAGGACGCGGCGGCCAGAGGAGUUGAUGGCGACGGGCGGUGCAGGAUGGCAGCAGGAGGACGGCGGCGGCAUCCAUGGCCUUGACGAGGGACCGAGCACGAGGCUCCUGCGGCGGAGGCGACGAACGGGCGGCGGCCGUUGCCAGAGGCGGGGAGGCCAGCGCGCUGGUGGAACGCGAGAUGGAAGGCGCCAGGAGGAAGGAGGGGAUCUGCCAGGCGCUGGUGUGAGGGCUCCUGCGGGAGGAGGACGAGGGGCCGAGCGGGACUCCUUCCUGGUGCGGUUGGGUGGCGCUGCAGAGGGAAAGAGAGGAGGAGAUGGGAUCGGGACGAAGGAGGGAGAUGGCGGCGGCGUGGGAGGACGAGAGGAAGAGGGUGAGGGGAUCGGGUCAGGGGAGAUGGUUAGGUUAGGAUUAGGUGGGCCUAAAGGGCCGGCCUAGCAUAGGUUGUAGCUGGGCUGGGCUCUCUCUCACUCUAAAGAACAAAAAAAACAGAGAUAUGGAAGAAAAAGAAAGAGAGGUUAGGGGAAAAAGUUGGACAUGUGGAUAAUUUCCCUGGACUCAUAAAAAUAUGAGGAAUUUAAAUAAAAUGGCGAAAGGAAUUUUAGAGAGAAUAAAUUUCACACAAAGGAACAUGUUUGAAUUUUUGAAGCCCAUUUGAAAAGACUCUAAACGGGCUGAGAUUUGAGAAGAUGAUCCCACACAUUAGAUGUGAUUUAUGGGCAAAUUUGGGACAUUUAUGGAUGAAGUAAAAUUGCAACUCAAUCUACUAAAAGGCCCCAAAGGAAGAAAUGAAGUUGAGUUGGAUGAAAGAAAUUUUAAGAACGGUGCAAAUGUGUUAUGGGUGAUUCCAAGACAAUGAAAUGGUUUUAUAUAGCUCCCUAAAUAUUGGGAGGAUAUGUUAUAAAGAGAAACACCAUGUGAAUUCCCUCAAUUUAAAUAGAUCGAAAGAUCUAUGCAAUUUUAUUUAGUUGAGUUGAAGUGCGAAGAUUAAUGACAUGAUGGCAUGAUGACAUGAUGCAAUGCACAUUAUGACAUGGCAAGAUGCGACGCGCAAGCAAAAACAAAACACACAACGAAUCUCGGAAACCCCGAAGGCAUCUGAAGCUCUGGUCUUGAGGCGUCACACGAUAUUACCCCUUGGUCAAAAAAGGAGUGAUAUUACCCGCAAUAAAGAUGCUACACGACGAAUUGGCAGUUCCUUAAUAACGCUUAGAAAAUACUCAUAUGAACAGAAAUGGCCGGUUUUCAGUUCGCUUAGCUUAUCAUAAACUAUGGGAGGAUACUUAUAUCAAGGAGGAGGAGAGGAAUACAUAUCAGAGUGGAUCUAACCCGCAUCCAGUUUGGAAAAGAAUUUGGCAACUGAAACUACCAGCUAAAAUUAAGAUUUUCAGUUGGAGAUGCUUACACAAUACAAUCCUGUGUUACAGUGUGCUCGCAAAUCGUCAUAUCGGCAGUAGGUCGCAUUGUCCACACUGCACUGAAGGAGCAGAAGAUGCUCGUCAUGCGUUGUUCACUUGUAACAGAGCUCGGGAAAUCUGGACAGCGAUGGGACUUGAUAACCUGGUCUCAGGAGCUAGUACCAAUCGAACGGGUGCAGGUACACUUGAGUUUCUACUUUGUGAUGAUGAACAUCAGGGUACAUAUACGGAGGGAAUUCCUGUUCCCGAAAUUGUAGCGGCGUCUUGCUGGUAUAUAUGGUGGCAGCGCAGACAAUUUGUUCGCGGAGAAACAAUCCAGAAUCCUCAGCGGACGACAAUGGCGAUCCAAGCUGUAACUUUAAAUUUUGUUCGUGCUGCUGGGAAAAUAGGGAGCUCUAGUAGAAUGAACCGGUGGUUCUCGCCAACCAGCAGGUUUUGAAUGUGGAUGCGUCAUUUUAUGUGGGCGAAAAUUCAGGAGGAUGUGGGGCCAUAGUCCGAGAUAAUCGCGGGAAUUUCAUUGGAGCAACCACGGCAAAACUGACUCAUGUAGCUGAUGUGGUGUGCGCAGACGCUGCUGCACUCAGAGAAGGCCUCAAAUUCCUCCAAAGUAUGGGAUGUAAUAAUGUGAUAGUAAGGAGUGACAAUAUCAUUGUUAUACUCCCUCCGUUCCAAAAUAGAUGACCCAACUUUAUACUAAGGUCAGUACAAAGUUGGGUCAUCUAUUUUGGAACGGAGGGAGUAGAUGCCAUGAAGGAGAAUGAUGGCCAAGGCAUGGUGGCGGCACCUGUACUAGAGGAAUGUAGGACACUUUUGCAAGAUUUUGGGAGAGUUUUCAUAGAGCAUUGUAACCGUGAGUCAAAUAUUGUUGCUCAUGAGCUAGCUAGGUGGGGGAGCGCAAACAACCCGUCUGUGUGGGUUGAUGCACCACCGAGUUUUAUUGUAAACUUUCUUCUGGACGAUGUAGCGGUCAUUAAUAAAUAAAACUAGCCAUGAAGGCCUUCCCGUCAAAAAUAAUAAUAAUAGAAAAUACUCAUACGAGGAGAUAAUUAAGAGGAAGAUGCUGAUGUUUGAUAUUGUUGCAAUACCUGUGCAUCCUAUUGUCACUCGAGUACAUCGUGGCCACCAUCGUCGUGUGACAAGAUCUGUUUCUCUUUUGAUGUUCCUUUUCGUCGUCCGACAGAACAACGACAACAUGUAUGAUCUUGAAAAGGCAUGACGGGAAUGUUUUCUUCGUCACUUUCAGGUUCUUAUUCCAUUGCAACGAUGCACCUGGGGCGGAGAUUCAUAAUUUAAUCCAGCAUGUUUGCAAUCCAGCAUACAGAUCUUUUGGUUAUUAUUCGAUCAGACACGUCGUGAGCUCUUUUGGUCCUCACUUCAGAUUCUCUCGACCGUUCUGCUUACAGUCAUUUGGCUUUGGAGAUUAAAGCCCUGUUGGUUGGUAGGGGUUUGAUAAGAUAUAAUCUCUACUCGCGAAAAAAGAAAAGAAAGACAAGAUAUAUGCUCCCACCGUUCCUAAAUAUAAGUCUUUUUUUUGAUAACCCUAAAUAUAAGUCUUUUUAGACAUUCCAACGAACUACAUAUGGAGCAAAACGAGUAAAUCUAUACUCUAAAAUAUAUCUACAUACAUCCGUAUGUUGUAUUCCAUUUAAAAUGUCUAAAAAAACUUAUAUUUAGGAAUGGAAGGAGUAAUUCUCAUGUACCGAGGAAAUCUUUGCCUCUUGAUUGUAACUCUAAAAUUAUGGAAUAAAAUCCCUUUCUCCUCGCAAAAAAAGGAAAAAGAAAGUCAAUGCACAAAGUUUUAUUUUACAGUUUGACUAAUUCACAUCUAGAUGUUUUUUAAGGAUGUCACAUCUAAGUUCCUACAAAUAUAUAAUGCAGCAACAAAAAAAAAAUUAAGACAAAAAAAAAUCACGAACAGAAUAUACAUAAGCUUAGAUAUGACAUAAUUAUGUCACAUCUAGAUGUGUCCUAGACUUUAUUUUAGAUAAAAAAUAGCACGAAUAGAAGAGACCAACGAGGCACCGAAUGAACCAAACCAACCACCUCUUUUCCCACGGCGGCCCCACCCCUCUCCCCCUCCGGUCAGUCUCCGUCCUUCCAGAAGGCCGCCGGAGUAGACGCGCUCCGGCCACUCCCCCUCAGAUCCCGCCGCCGCGCCCCAGCCCCCAUUGCCGCGGGGUUGCACCGGUAAGCCGUGGCCCGCCCUGCAUAUUUACACCCCCGUGCUACGUACAUGGGAGGAUCGCGGAUUCGUUUCCACGGGAGCCCGUCGAGGCGACGACCGAGGUCGGUCAGCGGCACCGAAUGCGCGCCGCGCCGUCGCCCAGCGCAGCCCCUCGUGGUCGCCGUCGCCGUCGUUUACCGUGUACCACUUGGUGGUGAUUAGGGAAGGCCCGAGAAUCGCUGUGGAGCCGCGGGGAAUCCGCCGCGGCGACGCGCUGCUGGGAUUGGAUUCGUUUCCUGCCUUUUGGCUUCGUUCCUUGCUUUUUACUGGGUCACUCGGAGGGGGGUUGCGUCAGCCCUUGUAGUCGUUGAUUCACAGUUGCCGGCUGUUGCUUGUUUUGAAUUCUCAAUUGAUGCUCCCAGGUUUCGUGCGCUGGAUUUGUUGGGACUGGUACCUAAAGCCAAUAAUGUACAGUCCCCCCAACUUGGGACCAUAACUGAUUUUGCACUCUAUAUGGUCAUUAAGGAUGCUAAUGGAACAGUCCCAAGCAGAGAAACCCAGCAGAGGACAUCAAUCAUUCCAUGUUUCAGUGUACAGGAUUCCAUUAUGAACCAAUUUCUAGUUCGUGUAAAAAUGUAAACUGUUAAAAACAUUUGCUAAGAAAAUAUUUAAAAAUAGCAUGUGGUCUGAUAACAUGCCCAAUAGCAUGUUCUUCAUUGUCAACCAAAGAGGAGGUUACCACUUACCAGUAUCCAUACUUCAAAAUUUCAUGGAAUUUACCCUAAAUGGCCUUUUGUUUUUACGUCGUGUUACUAUGUUAUUAUAUCUAGCUAUUAAUUUGUUCCACCCUUUCUUUCAAAAUCAUGCUUAUUAUUUAUAGUUGACUGGUACUUCAUUAUCCUGCAGGACUUGCUUUUAUCAUAUGACCGGCAACAUGUUUCCUCAGUGAUAUCCAGGCAUGAUUUGGGUAUUGUUCAUAAUGCAGUUGGCUUCACAUGGCACCCGAGAUGACGAAGGGACACAGCUGGUGCCCCUUUGUGACCAGGAAGCAACGUCAGAUUCGCAGGAGAUAUUUUCGCAAUCUGACACCGCAGGAAGCUCCACCGAGUAUCUGGGCUCAUGUGAAAUCAAGCCAUUGAUUGUUGAGGAUGAAAACCACAAUAUCGAUGCGGAUGAAGAUACCCAUCUUGUCAUUCAAGACUUUCCACAAUGCCGGAUUUGCCUUGAUAAUGAAGGUCCACAGUCCACACUACACUAUGACCUGAAAUACCCUUUUCUUAUAUCUUUUAUAUACCUUGUUAUAUUUUAUAUUAAAUCACUGUUUACCAUGUCGCAUUUCUGCUGCAAGCAGGUGAUGACUUAAUUGCGCCAUGCAAUUGCAAGGGCACACAAAAGUAUGUCCAUAGGUCCUGUCUUGAUAACUGGAGAUCAACAAAGGUAUUGAUUCACGAGCAUUUUAUCAUUUACAUUGCACUUGUAGAGUGUAGAGUUGACGCUCAAGUGCUCAAUCAUCCUGAAAUCCACCCAAACCACCUGACAUGCUAACACUCAUUAUCGUUACAUUAUUCUCAUUCUGACCUAGUUUCUUUGUUACACAUCACCCAGGAAGGUUUUGCAUUUUCACAUUGCACUGAGUGUCGGGCAGCAUUCUUACUUCGUGCAAAUGUUCCUCCAGAUCGAUGGUGGUUAAGGCUCAAGUUUCAACUUCUGGUUGCUAGAGAUCACACAUUGAUCUUUUUCAUUGUACAACUGGUAAGAUGUUCACACCUUGCAUAGUCUAGUGCCAUGAACUAAUUUUCUUACACAGUUGAUUGUUUUGUUACCAAGUUGAUUUAUUUUCUUUUUGCCUGAUAGGUUGUUGUUUUAUUGGGUAUGCUGGUAUACAGAUUUUAUGGAGAUGAGCUGCAAGAAAUGUUUGGCUAUGAACAGCAUCCUUAUGCUUUUUAUGCAUUGGCAAGUAAGUUCAAUUUUCAUAGUGAUGUCUACUAUCCUUGCACAUGUUACAAAAUAUCUUUGUCUAUGAUUCAAGAAAUUUCUUGAAUUGCCAUUUACCUAACAUGUCGAAUGAGAACUAGAUAACUUAUGCCAUUUAUUAGUACUGGAUUUCUUCCUAUUCAGUGCUCUCAAUAUGGUUUGGCUACUUCUUUAAAAUAAGCCACUCAUUAUUUGCAUCUUCCAUUUUUAAUUUUGUGGCCAGUAUUAAGAUAUAUGGUGUUCAAAUGGUCUUAUGCUUGCCUGAUAUGUAUUUCUGUAUCUAUGAGGAUAUAGAUCAUCAUUGUGUAAUUUAUGGUCCCAGCAACACCUUUGGUCCUUUGAGUUCAAACAAAACAUACAUAGUACUCCCUCUGUAAACUUUUAUAAGACAUUUUAGGUCAGUAAACUAGUGACCUAAAACGUCUUAUACAAAUUUACAGAGGGAGUACAUUUCAUAUAGGAUGAGGCAUGGUUAUCUAAGCGUGGUUUGUACUUUGGGCAAGCAUGGAAAUACCUGUCAUAUGGAUUUCUUUUCAUAGUUCAGAUGAUCGUCUAAACUACUCAAAUUGUAGACAAUCAUGUCUGAUAGAGAUAAGUCUACACGCUCAAUGGGAGCUACAAUAACUCAUGCUUGUAAAUUGGUGGGCAUAUGUAAAUUGUAAAGACAAUACAGGCUAGAUGAGAAUGUAAUGACAUUUGUCUAUCUGCUGUCGGCAUUUAGCAUAGCAUUUGUGAUUGUACAAGUAUUAGCAUCAUCUGUGCCGUGUCUGAAGCACUUGCUCAGAUUUUUUUCCUAAAUGUUUAUAAUAUUUUCUCAAACUGCAGUACUGGCUGUUAUUUUGGUUGGUUUGCUAUAUGGAUUCUUCAUAGCUAUAAUAUGUGGACAGAGGAUCACCGAACGGCACUACCAUGUUCUUGCAAAGCAAGAGUUAACCAAGGUUUGUUACAGAAAGAAAAACAGAAACAUCAAGUUUGUUGAUUGAUCUCCAUCCCAAGAAGUGCAUUUUCUGAUUAAUAAACUGUUUCUGUAACUGAUUAAUGAAUUAUUAGUUGUGCCACCAAGUACUCUAGUGACCAACAGUCUGAUAUGUUGGGAAAAUCUGAAUGCCAGUUUCAACAUAGAGUGUCCCAAUUGGUUCUGUAUCUUGCAUGAUCCCAGUGGGCUAUACUAGAGCAUGAAGUCCCUGUGAGAUGAUUUUUUUGGGUGUUUCUUGUUAGUUACACGUGCCUUUGUUUUUUUUCCUUAUCCUGGCAAACAAUAGCUUCUCAGUAUUACAACUUUUAAAUUUGUAGCACCUUCUCUUUCUCACGAUAAACUUAUGCUAAAAGAUUUGCUCAUACUGUGAUGUUCUUCUUAUGGCAGGAGUAUAUCGUAGAGGAUCUUGAAGGAGCUGAUCCAGUGGCAGACCUUGAUCCUAGCCAUGUCACGGAGCUGAGGACGCUGGGACUCUAUUGAGCAUAGCCGCAUAUAGCAUCAGGUUGGCAGUUUAAGUUGCUGUUGAUUUACAGCAUUCUCUUAGUUGUUAUGGGUGCACUCUCUACUUGUCUAGAAAUCACUCUCUACAGCUUGUAGAAGUAUAUGUAACGGCUCGUACAAAAAACUGCAAGAAACAUCCCCUUCCACGGUUCAAAUUUCAUAAUGGCCAUUCCAUUAUCACGCCAAAAAUGCCCCCUUUUCUCUAUCAUUUCGUAAGCAGCUAGUACCGGGUUUCCAUAUCCCUUCCAGACCGCAAGGCUUCCGGAAAUCCUGUGCUCUGGUCGCUCUGUGCUGCGUCGUCGUGUAAUUUCAUUUGGGCUGAGCUGGGUGAUUCCUCCAAUCAAAUGGCAACGCCACUCUAUGCAUGGAUCCCAUCCAUCCAUCUCUCCUUUUUCUUUUGUCCCUAAGGUUCUGAUCCCUCUCUCUAGAUCUUUCUGGUAUCCCCUCGGUUUAUUCCUCGCGCUCACUUUUUCGAUUGGCGCCUGUCAUCGCCCCUAUUUUGCCCGGCCGCUGCUGCAAAGCUCCAUGGGCGAAGGAAAAUUCUGCUGCACCAUUGCUGUGCUGGAGGCCGGCCAGCACAGCCAUCACAGGCGAGACAUGUCACCGUCUCCCCGGCCCACCAUUUCUUCAAUUUAGAAGAAGGGUCAGUACAUGCUUUAAGUGAUCAUGUUCAGGUCGGUUCUAAAGUGAUCUAUUGCCGUCACGCGUGGGCAUUCUGUUGUUCUUGUUGGUCUUUCGUGCUUGACCAACGAGUGAUAUCUAAGGUUUUCACUGUUUUGUACUGCUACCAUGUGGUUUUGCCCAGCUGCAUCGGGCGUCCAAGAAAUGAGAUGCUCUAGCAAAGACCACUCCUACCCCCCCUUUUUUUUUUUUGGUUUGAGCGGUACUCCUAGCUGUACCAUGUGCUGUGUACUAGCCAGGCAUUAUUUUUGUGUCCGUAUUACAACUAAACUCGGCUGAUGACAAAGGGCCCAGUAGCUCGCGUGUGGGCGGCGUAUGGGGCUCCCGUAACGCCAUCUCGGCGGUACGCGGAAGGAAGCUGGGCCCAUUUUCUGGGCCUCUCCCCUUAGGAGUUUACACCUAAAAUGGGCCCAGUGGCUCGUGCGUGCGGCCUAUUGGGCUUUGAUAACGCCAGCCCGGCUCUCUGGUUCCGCAAGAAACUAGGGUUAAAGGGCACCACUAUAUAACCCGCCACAUGCCCUCCCCUUCCAGCACCACAAGCCGCCGCCGCGACGGGGCGAGGCCGCAAGAUGUGUUUCCUCGCUCGCCGCCGCCUCGUUUCUUCUUCCCCGAGUUUCCCCUCGCGUUUCGAUCAAAUAUUCGAUCUUUCUUUGUUUUGGGGGCCUGUGAUGUGAACAAUUUGUCCGUACCAUCUGACAUCUCUGAUGAUCCACAUUUGCUAAUGUAUCUCUGAGGUCCCCCUUCUGGUUCUUCCCCAUCUGGUUUUGGUUUCGAUUUGAAUUUUUUUACCUAUCGAUCUCUGUUUUUGCUGUCGCUCAGCCAUGGGAAAGGCAACAAAUUAGAGUCUCUGAUGCGCUAAACCCCAUAGCGACUUCGGUGCUGUACGUUGCCCAGAGCGACCCCGGCGAUAGUUAUCAUGCGUGCGCCGUCUUCUCGUACGGCGUGCGCAUCCCUGUCCCCCACAUCUCCCGACGUUCGUACGAAUGAAUGAUUCUUGUUAGAACUUCCGAGGCAAACAAAUUAGAGUCUCUGAUGCGCUUCUGUAGCGACUUCGGUGCUAUACUUUGCCGAGAGCGAUUUUGGAACGUGGUAUCAUGCGUUCGGCGGCUCACGUCCGGCUCGCGCAUCCCUUUGUUCCACACUUUUUAGCUUUGCUUUUUUAACCACAAAAACAGAAAAAUUGUUGGCUAUGGAUUCUUUGAUUUUUUUUGUUGUGCUUUCCCUGUUUACUUGCCCUUUUUGUGCUUGUGUUUGGAAUCAGUCCAAUAUGAAGACAUAGGGUUAACUCCAGGACCGCAUGGCAACAAUGAAAAUGAGUGGACCAACACAAAUGUUUGCAUUAUCUUCAAAAAGGAAAAGAUUAAGGGGACUUCAAUUCAAACGAAAGCAGUGUUAAGUUCAUUACAGACCCUUGAUACAGUUCAAAUACCACAACAUCAGCAGCCUGGAAAAUCUAUUGCAGGCAGCAGCACAUCAUCAAACUGAAAUGCAACCGAAUUAGAAUCUGUGCCAGAAUGGUUGAAUGUUCUGGUUUUCUUCAGUUUAAUGUGCGCUGGAGUGGGCAGAGUCCUUUCGUCCAUGAGGCAAUCUAGUAGUUCUAGUAGUAGUAGAAACAAUGCAAGCCAAAGCUUGCCAAACUAGUUUGACAAGCAAGUUUCAUUAGAGAGCAGGCAACUAUUGGUUAUACAUGGUAGCAGUUUACUAUGAGAAACCACCUCUUUCUAUAUCAUAUCAUGUACACUGUACAUGCUGAGGAUCAAAUGCCUGUAGCAAAAAGGAAACAGCUUGAACUGCCUUUUCCCCGAAUUAGAGGCAUCAGAGAAUAUGGAAGGUGAAAUAUCACAUUUUUCAUCACGAUAUGUACAAACAUUCUAAGGCUGGAGCUACUCCAGAGACUGCUGGAGCUUAGCCACCCACGAAACAACGCUAUCAAUCACGAGUUUGCUUCUUUCAUAGUUGCCUCACAAUCUACCAUUUUGGGGGCCUGUGAUGUCAACAAUUUGUCCGUACCAUCUGACAUCUCUGAUGAUCCACAUUUGCUAAUGUAUCUCUGAGGCCCCCCUCCUUGUUCUUUCUCGUCUGGUUUUGGUUUCGAUCUUGAAUUUUUACCUAUCGAUCUCUGUUUUUGUGCUGUCGCGCGCCCAUGGAAAGGCAACAAAUUAGAGUCUCUGAUGCGCUUAACUCUGUAGCAACUUCGGUGCUGUAUGUUGCCCAGAGCAACCCCGGGGAUAGUUAUCAAGCUUGCGCAGUCUUCCCGUACGGCAUGCGCUAAACUCUGUAGCGACUUCGGUGCUGUACGUUGCCAAGAGCGAGCUGGGAACGGGUUUUCAUGUCCUGUCUCGCGUAUGACGUACUCGAACUCUUUUUCCCACACUUUUAAUUCAGAUCGGUUCUCAUGUUUUAUGAUACCAGAUUUUUUAAGAUAUACAAGAACAACACUCUCUGACGAUUGUUAUCAGUAUGCGAUCUACUAACGAUCCUUGCUGCAAAGAACCUGGGAAGCAUUGACAAUCAGUGAAUGAACAAGAUGAUGAAGGAAACAUUUUUCAGAUAAAAAAUGCUUACACAUAAACGAAACCAGUGUGACUACAGACAGGCUCUUCAUAAAAGAGCGUUGUUACAGGGACGACAUUGUUUAGCCGAUUGUUGGAUGAUGCAACGGAUCCAACCAUGCAUGAGUAUGUCGUCCAAAAAUCAUGCAGAGUAUCGUCCGUGUAGUAGUUCCGAUCAUAAAAUCUGUGGUAGCCAGUAAAGCACAUGAGAAACUGAAGUUGCAUCUGGACUCCUGGGGGCCUGCAUGGACGACAAUUUUCGUUUGAGAGCAGCCACCAAUUGUCUUUUGGCCAAGCUAUAUCUAGUUAGUGGUGUAUCAUGGGAUGAUAACCAUAAAAACAUAAAGAUGGUCAGGCGUCCAGAAACCACCUGGUUCAUCCUUCCCACUGCUGCAUCAGCCAAAUGUUUAAAUUUUAUGGGACUUGAUAAUAUCUUAUCAUAAGCCUGAGCUGGUGGUAACCAGAAUAAGAGGCAGAGAAUAUUGAAGGUGAAAUAUUAUCUCUUUACCAACUUAAUAUGAUGUAUCACAGACAUUUUUCUUCCGAUAGUAUAUCCCAGACAUGCAGGCUCACUUUUGGCUGGAGCUUCUCCAAAAAUGCCUGGAGCACGGAAACCUUUUAUCUUUCAUCCCUCGGGCAUCAAACCAUUUAUCUUUGGGGACAUCUCUAAUGAACCAUGUUUGCUAAUGUAUCUCUGAGGCGCCUUGUGUUUCUUUCCCAUCUGAUUUUGCUUUUGAUCUUUAUCUUCCAUCGCCGUAGUCCAUUUAUAUCUUUGAUUUAAAAAUGGAAGGAAGGCAACAAACUAGAGUCUCUGAUGUGCUAAACUCAAUAGUGACUUCGGUGAUAUAGGUUGCCGAGAAUGACCCUGGCGAUAGUUAUCAUGCAUGAUCCGGCUUCUCGCACGGCCUGUGCAUCCCUAUCCCGUACACCUUCUUCAGUAUGACUUCGAGGCAACAAAUUAGAGUCUUUGACAUGCUAAACUCCCACGUCGCGGAGAGCGAUUUUUGAACAAGUUUUCAUGUGUGCGCCAUUACGGUCUACACAUCCCUCUGUCCCAUGCUUUUUUUAUCGGGAAAACGCAAGAAGGGCUUGCAUUUCAUUGCUUUGGAAAGGAGGGAAGUCUCGGUUACAAUCCUCCUAGGAGAGAAUUACAGUGUCUGGGGGCAUAUCAGUGCACGUCCCAGGUUUGCGGCAAGAUGGCAUGAAGCCCUAGGGCGCCGACUUUGGCCUAGAGGGCGGCCUCAUCUUUGAUCUUCGUGAGCAGGUCGGACGUUGAGGGUUGACCUCUGUUGAAGACGCAAUCGUUGCGGUGCUUCCAUAUCAUCCAUGGGACGAGGAGGGUCACGGAGGCGAGGCCCUUGCGCAUGGGCAUUGGGGUGUCAUGUUGCGCCGUGCGCCACCAAUCAUUGAGGGAGAUCUCUCGGUCUGACGGGGUGCAGGGGAGUCUGAGCCAGUGCAGGAAGUCGUGCCAGGUCUGCCUGGCGAAUGGGCAGGCGAGGGUGAGGUGGUGCAUGGACUCGGGGGCCUGGUCGCAGAGGAGGCAUCGUGCGGGGUGCUGCAGGCCGCGGCUGGCGAGGUUGUCGGCUGUCCAGCACCGGUCCAGGUGGGCGAGCUAGUGGAAGAAACGGACGCGCAGGGGUGCCAGUUCUUCCAGGUGAGUUUCCAUGCGUCGCAGCCCAUGGAACUAUUGAAGGUGGCGAGGUAGGCCGAUUUGGCGGAGUAGACACCGCUUGUGUUCCACUUCCAGAUGAGGCGGUCUGGCUCGUCGGAGAGGGUCGUGGCGUUGAUGGCCUGCCAGAUCUGUAGGUAUUGUUCGAUCUCGUGUAUGCCAAUCGUGCCGUGUAUGUACCGUGCCCAUUGGUUGGCCUGGAGUCCAUUUGCAACGGUCCUGAGCUUGCGGCGACGCUUGGGAAUGCAGGCGUAGAGGAGCGGCACGAUCUCGCAAACAGAACGCCCGCCAAUCCAUCGAUCUUCCUAGAACAGGGCCUCCGUGCCGUUCCCGAGUUGCAUGGUGGUAGAUGCGAAGAAGAAGGCACGCUCCUCGGCGGUGAACUGCAGGUCGAGGCCGGCCCAUGCUCUGGUGCUGUCCGUAUGGCUGAACCACAACCAGCGGGUGCGGAGCGCGAGGCUGGUACGGCCAAGGUCGUGCACGCCGAGUUUGUCCCAUGCUUUUACCUUCUUUUACCCAAAUAUAUGAAAAAUUGUUUCAUUUGGGUCCCCCUUUUUAGGGACAUUCCUGCUUACAAGGCCUUUUCUUUAUAACAGUACUCCCUCCAUCCCAUAAUGUAAGACGUUUUUUGACACUACACUAGAGUCAAAAAAACGUCUUAGAUUAUGGGACGGAGGGAGUAAUAAUUAAAUAAGAAAAUUAUUCACCCUAAUUUUUUAAAUAAUUUUUAUUCACAUAUGCACUGGUGCCUUUGGGCCACCGAAGAACAACAAUCCAAUAUUCAAGUAUGUUGUACUAACUAAUGCAAUCAUAAAUAGUGUUAUCUUAAUCAAGAGAGGUGCUUUAACCUUAUAUCGGACAAAAGCAUUAUUAGAUGAUGUAUCUUAUUAUGGAACUAGUAUGGGAUCCUACUAUGCACAAAACGAUCCUCGAAGAACUCUGGAUGUACAUACUACCUAAUAGCUCAAUGUCUAACCCUUAGAAGGUAACUUAGGCUUUACUCCGUCUGUUUCAAAAUAUUGAAGUUCUAGGUUUGUCCUAAGUCAAACUUCUUUAAGUUUGACCAUGUAUAUACAAAAAUAGAUUGACAUCUACAACAUCAAAUAAACAUAGUAUGAACAUAUAUUUUAUGAUGAAUGUAAUGAGACUAAUUUUGUGUUGUAUAUGUUAUAUUUUUUGUCAGACUUGGUCAAACUUAAAGAUCUUUGACUUAGGACAAACUAGAACUCAAUUUUUUUUGGGAACGGAGGGUGUAGAAACUGUUUUUUGGGCUACCAAAAGGUUGAAUAUACCUUUGACUUAAUUAAUAUGGUUAACUGGAUAUAUGCCACUACAAUUUUGGUCAACUGAAAACGCCAUUACAAUUUUACACUUUGGGGAUAUGCCAAUACAAUUCGUCCACCCUGCUCUAUAUAGAGGAUGGAAUAAUUGUAAUGUCAUUUUUCCAAAGUGCAAAGCUGUAAUCGCAUUUUUACAAUUCACCAAAGUUGCCAUGGUAUAUAUCCAGUUAAUCCUUAUUAUUAUCCUCUAGAGUCUAUAGCACAAUGUACCACAGUACUACUCUUGAUUCACAUACAUAUUUUGGAUAAUCUGCUUGUUGGUUCCCAGAAUUAGAGGCAUCAGAGAACUAAAGGGGAAAUGAUAUCUCUUUUUCAACUUGAUCCAGAAACAAGAAAACAUGGUUAUUUUCAUCAAUGCAACAAUAGUAUAAUUUUGAUAACAUUUUAGGUUCAGUUCUUUUUGGCUGGAGCUUCUCCAGAAAUGAUUGUAAGAUGUGUUUCUUGGCUUGCUUCCUUCUCUUCCAUGAGCUUCCUCCCGAGUAUUGAUAUAACUUUGGGGCCUGGGGUGUGAAUAAUUUGUCCGUAGCAUAUAUCUUUGAUGAAACCAUGAGUUGGUUUUGAAAUCUUAUGGGUUUCAGCUCUAGCCUACCCCAACUUGUUUGGGACUAAAUGCUUAGUUGUUGUUGUUGUUGUUGUUGUUGUUGUUGUAUUCACAUUUGCUAAUGUAUGUCUGAGGUCUGAUGUGUUUCUUAUCUGUUUUGGUUUUCAUUUUGCCACACAUUCGUUUUAUUGCCGUAGUUGAUCUCUGUUUCUGCUGCAUUUAUCCCUGUAGCGACUUCAGCGCUGUAUGUUGCUGACAGCGAGCCCGGUUGAUAGUUAUCAGUUAUCAUGCAUGCGCCAUCUUUUCGUAUGGCCUCUGCAUUCCUAUCUCCGACACCUCCUGCAGUAUGAAUCUAAGAACUGCGAGGCAGCAAAUUAGAGUCUCAGAUGCGCUAAAUUCUGUAGCGCCUUCGGUGAGUCGAGAACAAGUUAUUGCCCUAUCUCAUAUCCCUUGGACCUUGUUUAUCCAAAACUAUUGGGACAUGGAAGAGCAACAAUCCAAUCUUCCUGUAUGGAACUAAUGGAGGGAUCAAUAGUGAUGCUUUAAGCUUGUGUCCUGCAAAAACAUUAUCUGACAACGUAUUUCAGUAUGGAAUCAGCAAAGAAAUUGGGAUGCAUACUACUAUACUAGUACAAGAAUUCAGGUCCAAUCCUUUGCAUAUCCAUGGCCGCGUUGCUGUCUGCAUGCAAACACUGGAAAUGAGCGACUGAUGAAAAUAAAUUUCUGCAUUGUUCUUUCCGUGUAAAAAGAUGAAGGAAACUUAUACCAUAGAAGCUAAUUUUGGGACUACCAAAUGGUUGAAUAUACCUGGGACUUUAGCAAUAUCUUCUAACUAUUGGCUCACAUACAUAUUGAGGAUCAUCCACCUGUUGCAAACUGCAAACAACUUUAAAGGUUGGUUCCCAGAAUUAGAUGCAUAAGAGAAUAUUAAAGGUGAAUUAUGAGCUCGACUUGAUCCAGAAACAAGAAAACACGGUUAUUUGCAUCAAUCCAACAGUAGUAUGAUUUCUCAAACAUUUUUGUGACAUAGUUUUCUUGAUCGAAAAAUGAGCAGAUAUGAAGUACUUAACACCUCUCAAAAGCUUCAGCUAUUGCAAGCCUUCUCAUCUGAGUUCUCGAGGCCUUGAAGAUCAAGCAGACAAGUGGUCUAGAGUAGAAAAACCAACCAGCAGUUCAGCUACCCUAACCCAGUAGUUAGACUGCCUUGCCUUGUCAUUUUGUUUCAGAUCUUUGCCGCAAUUGUAGGCUGCAGUCUGCAGAACUGUCAUCCUGUAGAUACCUGGUCAUCUUGUUUCCUACCUGAACCUCCAAUGGUCCUACUAUUCUCUCUUAAUUGAUUAAGCUGAACUCCUGUCACUAUUCUUAAUACAAAAAGGAAAAAGUAAUUAGUUGAUGUUGAUUAUUGAGACAACUGAGUUGCGAUGCAAAGUCACGCGAAGUAAGGAGUUUGAACUUCAAAAUUACAAUCUUGCCCAUAUGAGUUGUCUUACCUGAAUCAAACUUUCUAUUUUCAUUGCCUCCUUUUGAAGCCAAGAAUAUAUGCUCCAUCUUUUUGUAUGCUUAUAGACAUAGACUUCUUGCAUAUAUCUUUCUGAAAGUAACAGAAUAUAUGGGGAGAUAUUACUUUGUCCACUAACCAAGCAUCUCCCUCUUAGCAGUUAACUUCUAACCAGUUUGUUUGGUGGUCUAAUUAUUGGUGCUCCAUUAGUUUGUCUUCUUUUUUAUUUUCCACCUCCCAUAAAUUUCUUUGAUUUCCCAAAUGACAUCCUCCAGAUUUUUGUAUAUCCCAGGUAUUGGUAUUUUUUAUACCAAUUUCCCUCGAAGUAAAUACGAUAUCUGUAUUUGCUUGAGACAACAUGAAAUUGGAGUUUAAAUUCUUUUCUGUAGACAAUUCAUUCUUCCAGCCUACUGCUGGUAAUGGAUCAAUAAUGAUUAUUCUCCUAGGUUGGCAACCAGGACACCAGAGUGAAAGUGACAUUGGAAUUUAUGCUGGUUGGGGUGCAAAAGAAUGCACAACACUCCCGUUGAUGCACCAAGCUUCACGUUUUGGAGGGGCACCUCUUGCUCUUGGUGUCCUUAUUCGUGUAUUCCUGUACAAGUGUGAGUUACGUGCAAUAGCUUGUGGCCCUUUACAGAGUAGGAUGCCCCUUGGCGCUGUGACAAAAGCAAGGCCAGACUUGUUCUUGGCUCUGUAUGUUGUGGGGGUUCUCUGACUGUAGGGUCUACCGGUGGAGGUUGUCCCAUGGGCCAACUAAAGUUGGGUCCCUGGGAAGAUGGACCUCUCCUUGGGCCAUAAGGGGGGUUUCUUCCCUCCGAGGCCACCAAGGGAUCUUCUUGGAGGUGGUGGGUGAGUCUCUUCUAUCACCCCUCUGUGGGAAAUACCAGGGACCUAUUAGAGGCGUAAGGAGGUGACCUGCUGUGGAUCAUCCUCACCUCAUUAUUUGCAUAAGACUUCUUGAAAACAGUACAUCCUCAUGCAUGCAUGACCAUGUGAGGUUAUCAUCCUCGAACUCCUGAAGUGUGGAGAUGGUUUGACAAUGUAAAAAUGUUCUUUCGAUGUGUCCUCUCCAGGCUACUGUUACUAUGUCCUAACUGUUACCUUCUGUCUUAGAAAAAUGGCAAGUACAUGAACAAAGGUCCCCACUUUUCAUCUAACAAGGCAAUAUGAUCACACUAUGAGUGCCAGUUCUUGCUUGCUAACCGUUUUUAAAACUCUUGACCAUUAACAGUAGCCAUCCUGACAGUGACCUGAAAUAUCUGAUGACGUGUAUAUGAAGGUUAUUCGAUGUUGCGAGUGGUAGACAUCACGUACAUGUUCUCUUGAUUCACUCUUUUUUUUGUGAUGCAAAUAAUUGCCUGCAAUACUUGUAUACAGUCUGAUGGCAGCAACUCAAACAUUGAUAUGAGUAGUCUUCCUAACAUUAGGCAUGUCAUCAUAUUGCAGUUCACGACCCUACAAAUUCUUUACUUUUUACUUUUUUAUGAACAAAAAUGUAAGAGAGCGUAGCUUGGUAAUCUGAGUUAUGAGUCAUGAGUCAUCAGCUGCAACACUUUCCAACAAAUGGGAACGCAUCAAAUUGAGAAUUUGAUAGAACACAUCCAAAAGGUGUGAGACAGCUGACCCCCUCAUCAGCUGCAGCUAUUUCCAGUGACACUGUGUCAUGGUCAUGGGUCGGUGCCAUGAUUGUGUCUAGAGAAGUCAUCUAAUGUCAUCUGAUGACCGAGCAUAUCAUUUCCCUGUGAUCCAACACAAGGCACUAUCUUCUGGACAGCUGUUUAAGUAUGGGCAUAGUUGGUGAAGCUACCAAAAAUGUGUUGGGGUGAUAGUUCAGGAAUCAGUUCUGUCCCAAGCCUGUUUACCACAAAUUCAUCUCUUGAAAGUCUGAAUUGCCCUCAUGAUUAAGUUGUGGGGAGAUUACUAGCACCAGUUACACCGCCUCAUCACCUGUGGACCUCUCCCCCGUUGUGACAGUUUUAUCCAUCUAGUAUAUCAUAGUACAAAGUUUCAUGGCUAAGUAAACCAAGAGAAUAAUUAACUUACUGAAAACUGAAAUGCCUAGAGAUUAUGUAAGCUAAAGCAUACCAUACUUGAAAUUAUAUUUGUGAGUUAACCUCCAAUAUUUUUUUCCAGGUAAACGGCAAUGAUGAAAUGGGGAAACCAGCCUAUUUCAGCAUAACUUGGAAGACUGUUGUUGCAUGAAUAUUAUCACACUUUCAUCACGAGGAAUGAAAAAUGGGCCUUUAUGUGGCGCAUAAGUGUAUAUUUUCAAAAGGAAAACAGGUCGUUCCUUUCUAGCCACCAAAUAGAAUUCAUGUUUCUUUUUUGUUUCAUGUAGGGUAGUUUGCUCUCAAAAUAGGAGAAUAAGGUGAGUUGCCUCCCACACAUUCUCAACAGAGAGGUUGCAGAAAUGCUAGGAUGCUGUGCUGAAUGUACUUUUUUUUUGUUAGAUAGAUUUCUUUCCUUUCCUUUUCCAGGUUCGUAAUAAAAUGUAACAUUUAAAGUUGGAAAUAUGUUCUCUAUUGUGCAUAUGUUGCAACUCUGCUUGGCCAUGCUUCAUCCGUUGAUUAUUUGCAUCAAAUUGAUGAACCAAUUGAUAUCCUUGAAGGUGUACACAAGUUUGUACGCCUAGCAUCCCUGUUCAGAAAAUGAAGUAGAGAUUUAUGUCGUAUUGCUUGAACUGUCUGCACCAUCAUAAUUUGCAUUGCACAUGCUGCUCUUGUACUGGAGGAUCUUUUUAAUCGUUUCUUCCAUUUCUAUUUUUCUAUGAUUGCUAGUACCUUGGGACUUGUGAUGCGCUACUGAAAUCAAGGACACGCACGUAUGGCAGUAUGUGCCUUGCUGCUGAACUGUUAAUAAUGCAACAAACACCUGAAGGUGGCGAUCAUUAGCAAACCAGCAUGUGCAAGGGCAGUCAAGGUUCUAAAUUUCUAGUGUAUGGUUUAAAUGUCCUGGAUUUUUGGAAGUUCUUGCGAGUGAUACUAUUAUAGUUUCAGCAUUAUUAAAUAUCAUGAUGUCAAGCGAAACUGAUCUUCUUUGCGCACGAAGCUCUAUGCUAAGUGUGAAUGACCCUAUAGCAUUGCGUGAACUUGAUCAUCAUGCCCUUCCAGUCUUUGUUUUCUAAUUGUUUUGCUCUCACCAUAUAUACAUUGCAUGAACUGGAUUUUUAAAGAGAGAGACAGAGAGCAUCCAUGAAUUGUUGAGCAUAUUUUUUUCUUGGAUUUUGUUUGGUAAUGGGGCCCUUAGGAGUCCAUCAACCCAGGGUUCAAAAUCUGCGUUCAUGAGGGGUUACAAAAAUAUCUUUGCAAAGAAGAAUGUUAGGCCUUGUUUGAAUUGAGUUUAAUUUCUGUGUGCUCCCCGUCAUUUAGCUACCUUAUCUAUUUUUCUUGGUUGGGUGAGUGGAGAAGCAACACACUUUUUUAAUAAUGCGAGGAGCAACACAAUUUUUUACUACUACCUCCGUCUCGGUGAAUAAGUCAUUCACGUAGUUCUAGGUCGACAAUUUAACUAUCUAAAUAUGUAUUAUACGUGAUAAAAAAUAUAUAUUUAGAAACUAUAUCCGUGUAGAAAUCUUGUGAUAUAUUUUUCAUGACAUAUACCACAUAUUUAAUGCCUUAAAUUGAUGACCUAGAACUACGUGAAUGACUUAUUCACCUGGACGGAGGUAGUACUAGUAGUGUCUCAUAUUUGGUCAACCUCACAGCCUUGCCAUAGGGUUCCUUGACUUAGUUGCACUUGACAAAUUAAUUAUGUGGGUUCUUCCAUCAACACGUGUGCACUGCGAAGCAAUAGUAAAACCAUUUUAAUGCAAGAUGGGGGUAACACACAAGCAACCAUGUGUGCUCAAUUUGGCAAUUAAACAUGGCCUAAUUAUUGGCAUUUAUUUCUGAUGUCCUAAAUUACUAGUUGCUGGAUGGGACGAUAUGAAUGGUGGCGCACGACGAUGACGGCGACCUUCCUGGAAGCAAGGAAUCCCAGUAGGCACUAGGCAGUUAGUUGUCCAGUGAGUGGCAAGGAGUCCCAUUGGAACUCUCCUUGGUUAGGUGAGAAGUCGUCUCUAUAUUUGGAUGUUAAUAAAUAAAUAUGCAUGCAGUGGGCUGCUGUUUGUUGCAUGCCUGACAAGCAACUAUCAGACGCUUCUAAGUGAGGAAAAGGCUACCUAAAUCAAGUUUGGUCGGCGGCUCAGCUGUUCUCCAGUUGAAUUUCUGUUGAAUGAAGCUAAUUGUUGCCGUGGAAUGAACUGGUUUUGAAAGUUCUAUAUUUCUAGUGCAUGGGUGAAGGGAACUGGUUUUUUGAAAGUUCUUGCUAACAGAACUACUCCCUCCGUUCGGAAAUAAGUGUCGUGGUUUGAGUUCAAAUUUGAACUACAACCAUGUUAUUUCCGAACGAGGGAGUACUUUAGUUUUAGCAUUAUUAAAUUUAAUGUCAGGUGAAACUGGCCCUCUUUCCAUGCAGAGCUAUAUUGGUAAGUGUGGCAUUGGAUGAACUUGAUCCUGAUGCCCUGCCAGUCUUUGCUUUCUAUUUUUCUUUUUGCUCUCACCAUAUGCAUUGCAUGAACCUGAUUUUUAGAUAUAUAUAUAUAAUAUAAAGAGAGAGAGAGAGAGAGAGAGAGAGAGAGAGAGAGAGAGCAUCCGUGAAUUGUUGAGCAUAUAUUAUUUAUUGAAUUUUGUUUGGUAAAGGGGGCCUCAGGAGUCCAUCAAAGCUAUCCUGGGUUCAGAAUUUGUGUUCACCAGAGAUAACAAAAAUAUCUUUGCAAAAGAAGAGUUAGUCCCUGCUUGGAUCGAGUGCAAUUUUUGUGUGCUACCUUGUAUAGUACUCCCUCCGUCCCAUAAUACAAACGUUUUUUGACACUACGCUAGUAUCAAAAAACAUCUUACAUUUUGGGACGGAGGGAGCAUUUUCUUGGUUGGGUGAUAGGGGAAGCAACACAUGUUUUUUCAGUUUCUUAUAGUUGGUCAACCGCACAGCCUCACCAUAGAGUUCCUUGACCUUAUUGCACUAGAAAAAAAUAUAAUUAUGUGGGUUCUAUGAUCAACACAUGCACAUCAAUUGAAAAAAAAACUAUUUUAAUGCAAGAUGAGGGUAGCAACAGCCAAGAACACAAGCAACCAUGUGUGUUUAAUUCGGCAACUAACCAUGGCCUAUUUUUGUGUGAUAUUUAUUUCUGAUGGCCUGAAUUACUAGUUGCUGGAUGGAGCGCCGAUGUGGAUGGUGGCGCACCACGACGAACGGCGAUGUUCCAGUAGGCAGUCAGUUGCAAGGAGUCCCGUUCGGACUCUACAUGAUUAGGUGAGAAGUCAUCCCUACAUUUGGAUGUUAAUUAAUAAAUGUGCAUGCCACUGCUGUUAUGAAAACUAGAUGAUACCCCGCGCGUUGCUGCGGGAAGUGUAGUGCGAAAAAUUUGAUGGAUUAGACAAAUGAAUUAUAAAUAAUUUGGAUAUACUUGUUAACCAUAUGGUCUCUUGACUAAAGUAAAACAAUUUGAUUAGAUUGAAUUGAACAAUGCACGACCGGAUAGAAAAAUAGAAAUAUUUCCUCUUUUCCUUCUAAUAAUGUAUAUUUAAAAACACAAAAUGCAAAGCAAAUAAUGUAAUUGCUUAGUAAGGAACCUUCAUUGUUCUGAUCUUCAAACUAAGGAAGCAUACGAAAUGUAGUAUGUGAGACAAAAGAAUAGUUCACAAAGAUGGAGCACACAUCAAUGGUCGUCCUGAAUCCUUCACUUCGCUAACCAACUAACCUGCACACUCAUGUAUUGUACUGAGAACCACCUGAGAAUCACACCACGGAAUAAAUUACUCAAAUCAGCAAAAGUAUGACAAAAAACACACAACUAAAGGAAGAUCUUAUUAUCACGUGAGUAUGAUGACAUGGCUAGCAAGAUGUCCUCAUUUGUGUAUGCCUAUCAAAAUCUCUGUAAAUAGAUAACAUAUCGAAUAAUAAUUUGAUCGAGACAUGCUACCUCUUGGAACAUAGCAAACAACCAAAAUGUAUCUCGGCAUGCUGGGAGAAGGUUAUAACUUUUUAUCUCAUCCAAGUACACAAAUAUAGAUUACUAUCCUUGCUAAAGAAGAAGAUAAGAUAAGAAUGUAGAUCACUAAAAAUAUAGAUGUACAGUUACGUAGUAGAGUUCAGAAAAUGAUGUGACAUAUUCCAACAUAUCAAUUUAGGCACAUGAAUCAUAUGGUAUGUUCCCACAAUGGCGACAUAACUUGUGCCCUCGGGAGUAGGUAAUUUCACGCUUAUGCUGGUAAAAUGUUUUCAAUAAUUAAAAGUCAUUUCAGGUUAACACAUUUUCUUAAGUUUAGUUACAUUGCAUGAUAUCAAGAUGGAUUAUACACCAAACUGAUUCGGUUCAGCAACUUAAGCUUGAAUUUGUCAAACUUAAGCUAAAGAAGAAGAUAAGGAAGCAUACUGAAUUAUGUAGACUUUGAUCUGGCCUCUCAAGCUCCAAAACAACGGCACCCGUAUAUGGCUGACCCAGCCACCACUCUCUGUCAGAUUCAGCCAUCACGCAGUAUCAAUGAUGGGCAUAACUGAAACAGUGUCCGACUAUAAUUGUUGAACAAUACAGAAGGAGAUGCAUAUACAUGGAAGCUAUUUCAAUUAUACAGAGAUGUAUACAUUCAGCAUACAACUAUGUUCCCAAAUAAAAUGUGUGUUGAAUGAAAAAGAAGAUUAUGGACGUUAUACCAUCAAAGAAGAUCUGUGCAAGGUAAUUUCUUUAGAUGUCUUCUUUAGCGAUGCACAAAUAAUACAAUCUCUGCAAUAACUAAUGCAAUCCUGCUAAAGAAAUGUAGGUACAGGAGUUACCUUCAGUGGAUGGUAGCAUUGAUCGUCUUCUUCAAAGGGAUCUAGUAACAUGAUUGUAGCAAUCUGCUAGAGCAAAUCAAAACAGUAUAGUGAAUCUGCAACUUGGAAGUUAUUUUUUUGGGAUCUCGGGUGUACCUUGAUAUACUCUUGACUGGCAGUAUCUCUUCUCGUCAGCAUAUCGUGGUGAAGUUGUCUUAGAAAACCUUUACACAACAGCUUUCCUCCCAACCAGGCCAAGGCUACCGCCGGUUGCUGGUGCUGCUGGCUGCAGGGCGUGGUGAUCGAUUUAGUGGAUGGAGAUGGUAGGACGGGGGAGAGAAGGCCACGGAUUCUGUAGCCAAGGAGAAGAGGACGGAUCUGAUGGCACGGGUAAGCGAAGCGGUGGAUGUGCAAGGGCUGGGGCGGGAGGUUGGGAAGGGUAUUAAUGGUGAGAAGACAUGGUAGGUCAGGGGAGAGGAGGAGCCAAAUUAAGGUAUCGAUGCAUUGUCUCCAUUAAUGGACAUUAGAGAAGGUGAAGAGGAAGAGGAGCAGCCGUGUAGAAGAAAGGACGCAGAGGAGGCGCUACAGAAGGAAGUGGUACCAUCAUGCGGGGAACCCUGAUGGAUACGGUCUGCCAACGUCCAACCCAGCCCAUUCGAACUCUUUGCUGAGAAAUCGCUUCGUACAGCCGCCACAAGUCCAGCCGAAGAAAAAUUGAAUAUAUUUAUUCAGACCUGAGGAGGUGGGCCUAAGUGGGACUGCAUGAGGUGUGACGUGGCUAGAUGUGAAUGGAUGAUGACGUGUCUAUGCUGCAUGUUGAGAUAAAUCAAGUAGUGGGGGUGAACUUCUUAAGUAUAUAGGAUGACGCAAGCUGCUAUCAGGCGCUUCUAAGUGAGGAAAAAGCCACCUAAAUUAUGUCUGGUCGGCGGAGCCGACGUUCUCCGGUUGAAUUUCUGUUGAGUGACACUGGUUGUUGCUGUGUCCAGGCUUUGCCAAACUAGGAAACUAGGAAAUACCUUGACGUAUCAGAGAGAUGGAAAACAACAUCCACCAGUGCACCACUGACACGCAUUGGCCCUGGCUGUAUCCCACAUACCAUUUUUCACCAGCAUUAUGUUUGUACCUUCUCUUUUUGUGUGUGUUGGUACUCUAAAUCUCAUCAAAAUUGCAAUCUGGUAGGUAUGAUCUUCACCAGUUAGCCAGUUUAGUCACUGCAUUGUGAGCACCUGGAGGCUUCUCUCUAAUAUUGCUUUAAAGCACUGUAGCUUAACAGCCGCCCCUUGCAAUUACAUGCACUCCAUCUGCUUAAUAAUGCAGACAGAGAGAGACAGGAGCGCUCAAUGGAAUCAACUGGUGGUAGUUAGUUAGUGUUCCACUAAUGACAUUGCAAACAAGACUUGUCUUCCUAAGCAUUUUUUGUGAUUCCUAGCUCAGAUGAGCAAGAGAAGGUAUCAUUUGCCUCCUUUCUUGCAAGAAUUUGUUAAGAAUGCAAAAGGGUAAAAGGUUUACGGAAAGGCUUGGGGGUGCAAGGAUCCCAUCAAGGGCGGGAAAGUGCAUUUUUACAAUCUGAUGGCGACGCUUUAAUCCUCCCUUCUGAAGCAAGGCAAUUGCUGCUUUACCAGACUGUCAAAUGGAGGCUAGCUAACUGCAUUAAGCAAAUGGCAGUCACAUCACAUCCAUCAGAUGCCUGGAAGCUUCAAGCUCUCAAAAAGGGCUGGUUAAUUGUGCCAAUUAGCGCUAAACAACACGCAACCACCUUCAUCGUCGAGCCGGGAGAAACCCCCUCCGUGUUCCGAACGGGGCCUAACCUUUUCACAUUCAGAAAGAUCGCCGAGAAAAGGUAAUUUUUAUGCCCUUAGCUACACAAUAAUGUGAAAGUCCCCCUCUGUAAAUCCUGGCUUGGACUUUACAUCCAGGCAUCCAGCCAGUCAGCACAUUCUCAUUGGCUGUGGAGGGAGAACAGUCAGUCCCUGUUGGCUUGCUGUUCCAGGAAAAACCGUAUCCCUGCCUUUCACCUUCCAUGAAUGCACAUUGCAAGCAUUCCCAUGGCAAUGCAACAGCCUGCUUUUGACAACUUUGAUUGCUCCCCCUAGAACAUUACAAAACCCUGGCCUUCACUACAGAUACAGUGACCAUGACAGGCUCUUUCACCGUCCAUUGUGGCAAUAAUGCCCGCCUUUUUUGCAUCUCGUUUUCUUGGCACGGCGUGUGAAAACAUUAUACUCCCUCCGUCCCACAAUAUAAGUUCAUUUUUCAAGCUAUAACGAUCUUAUAUUGUGGGAAGGAGGGAGUACUACUAGUGUGAAAAAAAAUGAGGGUAAGAACUAGCAAUGUGCAUAAGUGGAGAGGUGUAGGGCUGCUUUACAGAACAAGGGCAGUGUUCGUUCGUGUGUGUGUGUGUGUGUGUGUGUGUGUGUGUGUGGGUGCACCUAGCAACAAAAGCGAAGAGGAAAUGUGUGUGACUGUGUUCAAUUAUUUGGUUUUAUCUUUUCCAUUUGCAGAAAAGGUAUUCCAAGAACAACAUUAAAGCCGGGCUGCCACGCAUAUUUCCCUGUGGUUGAUGGCUACCUCCAACAAUGGAAAUGGAAGGGAAGGCAGACAAGUGUAAUCAGAUUCUCGCCAAUUGUCUAUGCAAUUCUCAGGUAAGAAAAGAACCAGAUGGUCCAAGAUUUCGAAUUUUCAAUACUCAGCGCUUUAUGCUCUUCGAGGAAAUGUCCUCGAAAAUUCAUGGCAAUUCGGCAUCCGGUCCGGCUACACGUUAGAACUGAAGACGAUGCUUGUUUAGCAAAAGCAUGGUUCAUAAUCAUACCAGGUUCUUCAAGAACUUGUUUCAUGGACAGUUCAUGUUCCAAUGCCAACCUUAAGAAAAGAAAAAAAAUGAAAUCUGGGAUCUGUGGCAAUCCACCCGAUGUUGACCCGCACGCGUUCGGCGAUGUGAUUCUACUGAAAUACCUGAUCCAAGAAACACAUUUCCACUUGCAUUUGCAUCCUGCACAGAUUUAUAAAAAAUGCUAGUAAAUCAAUUUCUUCCAGUUAGCAAUGACUGAAUCUGAUCUGGGGCUCCAUGCACCUUGCACUGUGCAACUACUGAUGGAGCAAUGUGGCUGAACAUGAGCACAGCAGCCUUUGUCCCACCGACCACAUGGGCUUAAGGAACACAGAAAGCAGGUUAGUGCAUGCAUUAGCCCAUAUGCAGCUGCUCAUAACCACUAUUCAAUUGAGCACAAGUACAAACCCGCCGAGGUUAGUUUAAGAGGGGCAGAUCCUUAGUCUUGGUUUCUGCAAGAAGGAAUCAAAAGAACACUUGUUUAAUUUCUGUGCGCGAUAGAUCGUGUUUGUGAUGCCCACCAUGCUUUUGAUAAGAUCCGAAUUACAUAUCAACUGUUAAGAAAUUCUCAUCUUUGGUGUGAAAUAGUCUUUGGCCGCAUUUAGCGUGCUUCGAAUGAUAAAAUUCCGCUCUUUAUUCUCUGGAGAAUUGUUUAGUGUGGCCUUUGUUCCAAUAUGGUCCUGCUUUUUAUUCACCUUAAGAUCUGAAUUAUACAUCUCAACUGUUACGAAAUUCUCUUCUUUGAUGUGAAAUAGUCUUUGGCCACAUUUAGCGUGUUUCAAAUGAUAAAAUUCUGUUCUUUAUUCUCUGGAGAAUUAUUUAGGGUGGCCUUUGUUCCAAUAUAGUUAUGCUUUUCAGUCUCCUUUUAUAUUUAGUAAAGUGUUUAUUCUGUCUAACCUUUGCAUCUCCCAUAAAGGAUAUUUCUGGUCUUGUUUAUGGUUAAGGACUACUCACUUUGUGUGAGAGAGUUUAUUGGCUAAUAUAUAAAGCUGCAAACCUGCCAUACAUCAAAACAUUAAUCUGAAAUUCCAUAACCUCUAAUUAAGGCACUAAUUGAUUGUAGCUUAUGGAGCCUUGUCAAGUUCCAAGGAACAUUAUGUCUCAUCUAACCACAUGCACAGGCUGCUGUCUCACUAAUUCCAUGUAUAAUGCAUGAACCAACCUUUGGACUCAGGUGACACUAUGAUCCAAAAGCCACAAUCAAUGGCAAACAAGAUCCCUUUUCCUCUUAUCAUUUUUUCUUCUCUUUCCUCCUGUUAGAUCUUCAUGUUCACAAAUUAUCAAGAGGUGACAGAUGUGCACCAGCAGAACAACCUCACUAUAAUAAAGAUACAUUGGAGAAAAAUAUGUACUUUCUCUCUUCUCCACACACACACACACACACACACACAUACCAAAAAGUAAAGAACACCUUGGACACAACAGCUCAUGUUAAAAGUACAACUAAGUACUCUAGCUCUGUUGAGUGCCUCAAGAUUCUUGAGAGGCGCCACCAAGAAAACCAAGGUCCAUGGCACUUUUUCCCUCGAGGUGCAUUGCCCGAUAUGCAUUGUGUUUCUCUUUUCUGCUGAGUUUUCGUGCUGCAAGCGACGUCUGCUUUUUAAAGCUGUAAUGUGCAAAUUAUGUAUGUGCACAUCAUGCAGCCAGAUCAGGCAGAAGGAUGGCCUGGGUGAUUCACUUGACCGACGAGAAGGAAAUUUGGCGGUUGUGUGAUUUAAAAAUUUGCACUGUCGAUUCAAAGCAAUCAUGCUCAUAUAGUCAUAUAUACAUCAGGAUGUGGCUCUAGUUGCAUUUUUUUGUCUGGUCUGGAGCAACUGAGCAAGCAACCCCUCAAUGCAUACACACCUGGAGCAUCAGGUUGCUUCCACUGAUGAUGACUCCCAAAACACUCAAACAUGUAAAAUGUUUUCUUGUGCCUAGGGAAAUCUCCGACGACGAUCGUCGCCCGCCUCCCGGGACCGGAGCACUGGAGCGGCUGGCCGGAGACGGAGAAUAUUCCGGGUUGUUCUCGCCUAGUAUUCUCUUGCUCUCUGGAAUUGUGAAUGGAGAGGAAGAAACUAGAAAGGUGGUGGCUGGGUGAGGAGGGGGAAGUGAGUGACCACCAUGGCCGUCCUUGAUUCCCUGCCAUUUGCAGCAUGGAUGGCCUCUGCAAAUCUCCACUGUGUGGGAGGGCCGGCUCUACUCUACUCCACUCCACUCCAUGAAUGCAGCUAAGCUACCUCCAGGCCCAGUGCACCAAAUUGCACACCUCUUGCAGCCAGUGGUCCUCCAUUGGCACCCCAUAUAUAUGUGUGCAAGCAUGUGUGUGUGCACUGGUACAAGUGCCAACCAAGUUACACAAGGGCUGCAAGACCAAGAUGCAGAUCACAUCCUGUGGUGGCAGCUGCUGAUCCUGCCACUCCUGUUAGGAUCAUGCAUGCAUGCAUGAGAUUCAUGUGUGUGUGAUAGCUAGCAGAAGGAUCAUCAUCAAUCAGGCUGCUGCCGCUGCAGCAUCUGCAUGUGGUUUGGUGGGUAGGUACCAGUACCAGUACCAUACCAUACCCAAGAAGAUAUCAUGUGAGCUGGAGCCACAUGAAAAAUGGAGGAAGAGAAAGGAGAAUGGGUUUGAGGUGAAAUAUCAUCAGUGAGUGAGCUAGCUAGCUAUGCUAUGAGAGGCUACUGGUAGUGGUAGUGCUGCUGCCAUUAGUUUUGCAGAGAUGGAGAUGCAGUAGUAGUAGUAGUACAUGCAUGCACUGUGCCUGUGUACAACAGAGUUGGUCCAUGCAUGCAUGACAAGCAGGAAAAAGUGCCCCUGUGGUACAAUCAGAAUUCUCAGGAAUCAAUAGUGGAGGGGGAGCAUAGAGGGUAAAUUGGAGAAUCUCUUUCUGUGUGCAUGCACAACCGUCCACCUAUUGGUGCUGUGUACUGAGAAAAAUUAUGAGAAAUAUAUCAAAACUGGCGAAUGAAAAAAAAGAAAGAUCUGGGCCAGUUGUUUUUAUUCCAUUCUCAAUAUAUUCCAGUCACAAAAGACCGGCUGCUAUCACUCUCUGGUUAUUCCCUCCCCACUCUACCUUGCGGGUGGAAUAUCAUGAGGAUUUUCUGAACAUUGUGCAUGCAUUGAUUGGCAUCGCAUGAAUGUACUGUGCAGUAGCUGUGAAAUGUGAAUCUAGUUUUUUUUUUUUUUUGAAAUGAAAUGAAAAUGUGAAACUAGUUUAAGCCAGGCAUGCAGAGCAAGAUAGUAACUAGUGGGAUUAUUUACCAGAGCACAUCACAAUUCAAAGACAGAAGAAAAGAAGCUGCUCCAAGGUAGCAGAAAUAAGACAUUAUUCAUGGCAGUAAAAGGCACUUUAGCGGAGCACAUCACAAUUCAGAGCCAGAGAAGGAAAAACACACAAAUAAGAGAAAUACAUUCAUGGCAGUAAAAAAGGAAAUCAUGAGAUGAUGAGUAAGUAAGUAGAGUAAUUAUAUAUGGCACUUGCUUUGUCUGAACAACAGCACAGGGAGAGAGAGCUUACUGCUUCUUCCUUCUUACAUAGGGGAUCACAUGAUCGAUGGUGAUGCAUGCAUGCUAAGCUUAAGAACCAUCAUCACUUGGUACACACACCAGUUCAGAUUACACAUGAUAAUUAUAAACUAAUUAACCCCAGCAGCUAGCUUAGUUGGGUGCGGUAAAAACUCCACUGCUCUCCGAGUUUGUAGUAGUUAAUUAACCUGAAACACCAGAAGCAUCAGGUAAAAAAGAUGAUCUCUUUUGCUGCGCUCGCUCUUGUGCUGCUGCCACGGCCGUGGCGUGGGUGCUAG
This 43787-nucleotide long non-coding RNA is filed under the name Triticum aestivum (bread wheat). RNAcentral describes it as "long non-coding RNA (TAES_LNC009890)". The stretch from base 28041 to 28237 matches the Rfam family "MIR1435 microRNA precursor family". The record is from RNAcentral. Lineage: Eukaryota; Viridiplantae; Streptophyta; Magnoliopsida; Poales; Poaceae.